CCGUGAUGUUAAAGAUAAGUCUGUCUGAGAAGUUGCCUGUGAUUUGAAAUUAUUAAUCCACUGAAAUACACGAAGUCUUGAGCAUCAACUAGAGUGAAAACAUGAGGAAGUUCCUCAGUACAGAUUUCUUUAGAAAAACACGUCCAGUAAGUCGACGCCCACACGGAACAUGUAUUAAAAGUGCUGAUUCUCCAGACAAUUGAAUCACUCGCACCCCACCGGAGGACAAGAGCCGUUUGGAAACAGACAACAGUGAGUGUAAGUAAACGCACUCUGCACUUUAUUGGUGGGGAAAAAAAGAGUCAUAGAGAGGAGAAAAUCGGGCACCAGGUCAAACCCAUGAAUUAUUUUUAUUGUAGAAUUUCAUAGACCAGAAAUGAUAAUGUCAUUGUUUUCCACUCCAGUUAUAUCACUGAAUCAAUGUGGUAGGUAAAGGAUUUUUUAAAAUUAAAACCUCUGUCUACAUUCAAACAAAAUCAAACAAACAAAAUUUUUGGCAAAGUGUGUUUGCAUACACAAAGAAUUUGUUUCCAGUACUUACAUUGAGUACAACACACAAUGGUGUAUAAAAUAUAAGACAGAAAUAUAUUAAAGUAGAACAAUAUUAAAAUAAUCCAGACCAGUAUAACCAAUACGCAGUAUUGCAUGUGCACACCAGUAAGUGUGGGUUAGUCAGUAGCAGUAGCAGUAAUAUAUUUCGCUAUAGUCCAACAGAUUAAUGUCCAUAUUAACUGAUCAUGAAGGAGAUGGCCUGUGAGGAAAAUAAAACCUGUUCUUGAGUCUAGUUGUUUUGUGUAGAGAAGCUCUGAAGAACCUACCAGAGUUCAAAGAGGUCAUGGUCAGGUUGUGUGGAGUCUGUAGUUCAUAGUUCACCCUGUAAUCUGAUGAAGAAUAUCUGGAGGGGUUAAAAUUUAAUUAGAUUCUUCUUUAAAUCAAGAACAGGUUUGAAUAAAAUAGAAAAUAUAUAGAACUAUAUAGCAGCCGUGCUGUGAUCGAGUUACAGUAGCUUCGUCUUCGACUGACAGGCUUUUCCCUGCUGUGUAGUGUAGCAGGUUGGGUAAAGUGUUUUUAUAUCCUCCUGAGACUCCGCCCAUUGACUUGUGUCCUCUGUAGUGGAUGUUUUGUUUUCAUGCAUGUCCUCUGACUUUUUUAAGCUACUCUAGUAACUCUAGAGGACAUUCUGGGCUUUCUAGUGAUGUGUCAUGUUACAGUCUGUGACGCGAGGAUCAACUUCUUACACUACAUCUAAAAUGGCCGGCAUAGGAACAAGCACAUUUUAUGGAAAGAAGAAAGAUAACUAAAGUAUUGUAUUUUUAAUUGUUUUUUUUUUUUACUAUGAUUAUCACAUAUAUUCUUUUUUAUUAAAGUGUCAGGAAUAAUAUACUUAGUUCUGAAAGCAGUUCAAUGGUUUGUGUUUAAAAAUAUUAGCCUUUUUAUCAAUGUCAAUUAUAGUGGACACCAGGAUCAUCUUAAUGUACAUAAUGACACCAUGUUCCACACACACACACACACACACACACACACACACACACACACACACUUCACUACAACCAGUGAUUAAUCAUCAGUGAUAAAUAUAAUUUAUGAAUGCGGCUUCAAGAUUGUCCACAUGGUAUCAUGAAAUAUGUAAACUGGCUAAAGAAUGCAAAGUUUGUACUUUUGAUUUUGACUAAUUGUAUAGACAUACAGAGUCCUCCAUUAAUGUUGGCACCCUUGGUAAAUAUGAGCAAAGAAGGCUGUGAAAAAAAAUUCUUUAUUGUUUAACUUUUUGAUCCUUUGUUUAAAAAAUUCACAAAAUACUCUGCUCUCAUGGAUAUCAAACAAUUAUAAACACAACACAGGUUUAUCCCAAAAAAAAAAAUCUUUGUUAAAUGUAGGUGUGCAACAAUUAUUGCCACCCCUAUGAAUAUGAGAAAAAUAUAUUUGAAGUAUAUUCCCAUAGUUUUAAUUUUUUAGUAUAUCUGGGUGACUAGGAACAGGAAUUUUGUUCAACCAUCACUUCCUGUUUCACAGGGGUAUAAAUAUGAGGUAACACAUAGGCCAAAUUCCCUUAGUCAUUCAUAAAAAUGGUUAAGAGCGAGGAAUAUAGCUGUGAUGUGCGGCAAAACGUUGUUGAGCUUCAUACAAUGGGGCGUGUCUAUAAGAAAAUAGCACAAGCAUUGAAAACACCCGUUUCCACCAUCAGGGCAAUAAUUAAGAAGUUCCAGUCAACUGGAAAUGUUAUGAAUGGACCUGGAAUUGGAUGUGUGUCUAUAUCGUCUCAACGCACUGAAGAAGACGGUUCGAGUGGCCAAAAAUCUCCAAGGAUCACAGCUGGAGAACUGCAGAAGUUAGUCGUGUCUUGGGGUCAGAAAGUCUCCAAAACUACAAUCUGAAGUCACCGACAUCACCACAAGCUGUUUGGAAGGGUUUCGGGAAAAAAGCCUCUACUCUCAUCCAAAAACACACUCGAGCGUCUUCAGUGUGCCGACACUACUGGAACUUCAAAUGGGACCGGGUUCUACGGUCAGAUGAAACCAGAAUAGAGCUUUUUGGUAAUAAACACAGAGGUGGUUUUGGAGCACACAGAGAGGUAGCCAUAUGGAAAAGUACCUCAUGCCCACGGUUAAAUAUGGUGGUGGCUCUUUAAUGUUUUGGGGAUGUUUCUCUGCCAGAGGACCUGGACAUUUUGUUAGGACACAUGGCAUCAUGGACUCCAUCAAAUAUCAACAGAUAUUAAAUAAAACCUGACUGCCUCUGACAGAAAGAUUCAAAUGGGCCGUGGUUGGAUCUUCCAGCAGGACGAUGAUCCAAAACAUCAUCAACAUCAACACAGAAAUGGUUCACUGACCACAAAAUCAAGAUCCUGCCCUGACCAUCCCAGUCCCCUGACCUGAACCCCAUAGAGAACCUGUGGGGUGAACUGAAGAGGAGAGUCCACCAGUGUGGACCUGAAAUGUGAAGGAUCUGGAGAGAUUCUGUCUGGAGGAACGCUCUCAGAUCCCUCGCCAUGUAUUCUCCAACCUCAUCAGGCGUUAUAGGAGAAGACUCAGAGCUGUUAUCUUGGCAAAGUGAUGUAGCACAAAGUAUUGACUAAAAGGGUGCCAAUAAUUGCUGCACAUAUUUAACAAAGAUUUAGUUUUUAUAAACCUGUUUUGUUUGCAAAUUGUUUGAUAUCCAUGAGAGCAGAGUAUUUUUGUGAAUGUUUUUGGAUACAAAUGCAGGAUUUUAUUAAAGGUAAACAAUCCAUAGGACAUUUUCACACUUGUAAACAACGUGCAAACAUGUCAGGAGAUCGGCAAACAGGUCAAUAAACAAACCCAGAGUCAAUACACAAGAUAUUACCACAGAACAAAGGCGUGGGAUCAUUCCUAGGCAAACUAGAAGAGAGACUUCGCAUUGAAUGUUUGAGAGUCCAGUCUAUUUCGAGUAUAACUCCACAUAAGUCUGAAUUUCCAACCUCAGACUGUGAAAAAACAAAGAAAACAACUCCUCAUCUCGAAAACUCAGGACAGACUCCUCAACCCCAAGUUCAGCAAGUGAUGUCAAAUCAACACAGCAUCAGCAGUGAACACAGGAGCACUUCAAAUGUGUUAUACUGUACAUACACUUAAUUACUGUACAUCAGUCAGCAUACAGACAUGUUCACCUGUUAACCUAUAACACUGACUACACUGCCCACUGUUCUGAGGUCAGUAUACAUCACUCAGCACACAGAGCUGGCUAGAUCAUUGUUAACAAAAGCUGAACAUGGAGGCUCUCAUGGUCUUCUUCCCACUUUGUAGCUUGAGCACACAGAGAUCAGAAAUGUUAUAUUUCCAAGUUUUAACUUCCCACUUUCGAGUUAAGUGACAGACAGCAUGCGGACGUGUAAUCUCUUGCCUCUGAAUUCUGGGAUUUGAAGUUUCCGGUUACGCCAGAAGGUGACGUGACACUUUUCUUUACUUUUCCCUUUACUCUCACACUAUCCGUUGUUCCACAGAUGAGGACGGGUUCCCUUCUGAGUCCGGUUCCUCUCAAGGUUUCUUCCUCAUAUCAUCUCAGGGAGUUUUUCCUCACCACCUUCACCACCGGCUGCUCAAUAGGGAUAAAUCCACACACUUAAAAUCUCUACCCUGUGUUUAUAUGUUUCUGUAAAGCUGCUUUGAGACAACGUCUACUGUUAAAAGCGCUAUAGAAAUAAAACUGAAUUGAAUUGCUAUAUAUGUCCUACUUCAUCCUGUCAACAUGAGAGACAGCAAGAGACGCUAAAACAGUUAAAAAUAUAUAACUUUUAUGGCAAAGAUCAAAAGAAAACAUUCCAGACAAAGCUGCUACAAUUGUUUCUAAAAAAAAAAAAACGUGAGCAUUUUUGUCUCAAAUAUUUUGAUACAAAAUGUGUAAUAUAGAUGGAUUUGUUUGUCCUGUUCACAAAGAGUGGUUUAUAUUUGUUCUUUUUAGGUUGCAGAAUGGCAGAAUUUGAAGAGAUUAUUAAAGCGGUUGAAGAUGGGAUAGAAGAAGCGGAAGAAGCAUCUGAGGGACUAUCAGGAGAAGCACGAGAGGAAAUUGAAGAAGUAAUAGCCGAAACCCGCACGGCGAUUGAAGAGCUUUCUACAACUCAGAAUAAACUCCAAGAGUUCCUUAAGUCCAUCGGAAAUUGUGUAGCUAAAGUGGCCAAGUUUACUGCUGAAACUGUAGCGGUUGGCGCCAUCCUGUGGGGGGUAAAUGUUGCUUUAAACAAGCUGCUUCCACAACAUGACCAAAAAGAAACCAAGACACGCAUGCGUAAUGUAAUAAAGGCCUUGAGUGACGUGAUCAACACUGAAGCCACCAUAAACAAGAAGGUACUGGAAUGGAUGGAGGUCCACAAGGACGAUACCAUCACUCUGGAUGGAUAUGAAGUGUCUUUGGAAGCCAUUCUGACAAAAUACAUUAAACCAUUAGUUGAGGCAUCCGAAAAAGCCGAAACCAUCGCUGAAUCCCUCCAAGAAAAGGUUGAUGGGAAAACUCAGUUUAAAUGUCCAAGCGCAGAUGUCAUGAGAAAAUUCAUGGAUGUGACCGAUGUGUACAUCAAGGCCUUCACCGAUCUCAUCGCGUUCAUUAUGAAAAAUGUAGACCAUGUUGUAGAGCUGCAGAGCUUUCCGGUAAAAGAGGGAGAUGUUAUUGACCUAGCAGCAAAGCUGAAUGCUGCCAAGGACUUACCUCUGUGGUAAAAUAGAUUAUGAUUUGAUAACAUUACUCAGAAAUGGCAGAACAAGUUGUGUGUGUUUUUCUAGUUUGGAUAAGUUUGGCUAAUUCAACACUUUUAUCUACUGAAUUUAUUGAAUAUAGCACGUGGAACAAGAUCAAAUCAAAUGAACAUUUUAAUGGCAAUGCUAUCUUGUUUUACUUUUAAUUCAUUCGGCUUAUUUUCUUUAAACGUAUUUGCAUUUUUAUAACAAUUAUAUUUUUAAAAUGAAUCAUUUCUGAUUAAGAUUCAUGUAUUUCCUAUAACUUACUCAUAUGAAAAUAUUUUUAUGCCAGUGAUGUCUUAAUCAGUUAACUCUUAGAUUUUGGAUGAGUUUCAUCACCAGACUUUCUAAACCAGUCUCAUUAUGAAUCAGUGAACGUUGGUCAAUGUACAUUUCCUGUUUCAAAAUAUUGUCAUCAAAAGAUCUGCAACAUGAAUCUCCAUUUUUUUUUCUCCACUUGUAUCUGCAUUCAUCAUCUUCAUUAAAAGAAGUUCAUAAACUAUUUUGUCUUCAUUGAAUGAAAUCUUUUAAAGUUCUACAUUAGUGAUAUUAGGGAUUUCAAAACACCAAAUAAAUGAAGGAAUUUUAAUGAAAGAAUGUGACAAUAAUACACAAUGUAAAACAAGGGUUAGAACUGCAAAAGAACCAGGAUAGCGAAAAACAAGAAACGCGAAACCAAAAAUGAGAACGACGAGCACCUUUAGGAAAACUUGGAACGCAAAUCAGUUAAAUAAAAUAAUAAACAAAAUCAAAAAUAAUAAUAAUCAAAACAAACCCACUCAUGGGAAGCAGCUCUCGCCAUAUUGGAAAACCACAGCACACACCGAGAGGUCAUUUGUGAUGAACAUUUCUGAAUCUCUGAAGAUACUAAGCUAGCUUAGAGUUAGUUUCUUCUUCAUUCAGUAAGUGGUGUGUAUAUCUCAGCGUUCUCCAUUGCUCGGUUUGUCCCUCAGCAUUGUCUCCUUUGAAUAUCUCACAUUUCCUCACUGUCUAGUCAUCUAUCAAUACUGCAGCCACAUUCCAUUAGCAUGGAUGAGCGAUUUUUGUGUCGUUAACGGACCCCUCUGGCCACGACUGGCCUCAUCUACUGUGCACAUUUCCUCCUCUAACACGGAUUCUUCCCACGUUACAAAUAAUUCAGCCAGGUCAUGUUUACACAUGAUUGAAUGCAGGAUAUGAGAGUGAGCCUGGCAAACAUUCAUUACCAUGUCCUAUAGUACAAAUUAGACUUCAUGGGAGCCAUCCAAUCCUCAGACCAGCUGUUUAUCUGCCACAGAGGAAAGACACAAUGGCCUCCUUUACCUAUGUAGCAGUUGGCCCACUGGGUGGAGGACAUUAUCACCAAGCUCCCAUCGUGACAUACCAGAACAUGAGGAGUAUCUGCACCCACGGUCUCAUCUCAACAUCUUAUGCUUCUGUGGAAUUCUGUGGUUACCGUUACCCCUCCCAUUUUUCUUCACAUUAUUGUUAUCUAUUACCCACCUGGCUCUCUAGGAAACCUCAGUGAAGAGCUGGACAUUCUCCUUAGUCUCUUUUCUACACCUUGCUGUGCUCCUCUCAUAGCGCCCUCUUCUGUUAACAUUUUCAAUGCUUCGUCUUUCUGAAUUCGUUAGUAAGUUUGGCGAGUGUUGUGUGUGAUGCGCUCGCAAUGUUUCCUGCGAAAGUCCAUCGCAUCCUUGUGACAGUUUCCCGAUCCAGCCACGAGAACGAUUUCAAGAUGUUCUUUUGUCAAAGUGACUGAAAAAAAAAAAAUAUUAUAAACUAAGUAUGAAAAAUUUUGGAAGACAUUUUGCUGAAAAGUAUCAAUUUCUCCUAUGCAUGGAGACUUUUGGGACACGCUGUAUAACCCAUUAACGUUGGCAUCAUCUUGAAGUGGUAUUCCGUAAAUAAAUUUUCUUAAAGAUAAAAAACCCCAUGUGACAGGAAAGACAAGUGCAUGCGAAUCAGCAUGAACGUGUAUUCUUCGUAAGGCCUCUUAAAUAAGACUUUUUAACCUGUAUAUCUUUGUAGGACACUGUAUCUAAAGAGUGCCUUUUCAAAUACAAAUUAUUUGAUGAUCAGUUGAUCAUUUAAUUUGACUCCUUGAAGUCAUACAAUUUUGUACAUGUCUAACAUCCUGGCUUCCUUUACAAAAAUACUUACUAUGAAAAACAUUUUUAUAAAAUGAUAUCAGAAAAGAAUUGUCUGAAAUAAAUAUAUAUAUAUAUAUAU
Ictalurus punctatus (channel catfish) is the source of this 7400-nucleotide long non-coding RNA. The record is from Ensembl. NCBI's taxonomy places the organism in Eukaryota, Metazoa, Chordata, Actinopteri, Siluriformes, Ictaluridae.